GACGAACGCUGGCGGCGUGCCUAAUACAUGCAAGUCGAGCGAACGGACGAGAAGCUUGCUUCUCUGAUGUUAGCGGCGGAGGGGUGAGUAACACGUGGAUAACCUACUUAUAAGUCUGGGAUAACUACGGGAAACCGUAGCUAAUACCAGAGAAUAUUUUGAACCGCAUGGUUGAAAAGUGAGAGACGGUCUUUCUGUCACUUAUAGAUGGAUCCGCGCUGCAUUAGCUGGUUGGUAAGGUAACGGCUUACCAAGGCAACGAUGCAUAGCCGACCUGGGAGGGGGGUCGGCCACACUGGAGCGGAGACGCGGUCCAGACUCCUACGAGAGGCAGCAGUAGGGAAUAUUCCGCAAUGGGCGGAAGCCUGGCGGAGCAACGCCGCGGGAGUGAUGAAGGUCGCCGGAUCGUAAUGCUCUUCUAUUGGGGGAGAACAUAUGUGGACGUAACUGUGCACAUCUUGACGGUACCUAGUCAGAAAGCCCCGGCUAACUACGUG
Molecule: ribosomal RNA, 497 nt
Filed under: uncultured bacterium
Lineage: Bacteria
Description: partial 16S ribosomal RNA
Rfam family: Bacterial small subunit ribosomal RNA
Source: RNAcentral